UGGCGGCUGCUAAUACAUGCAAGUCGAGCGGACUUGAUGGAGUGCUUGCACUCCUGAUGGUUAGCGGCGGACGGGUGAGUAACACGUAGGUAACCUGCCUGUAAGACUGGGAUAACUAGCGGAAACGUUAGCUAAUACCGGAUAAUUUAUUUUCUCGCAUGGGGAAGUAAUGAAAGACGGAGCAAUCUGUCACUUAUAGAUGGACCUGCGGCGCAUUAGCUAGUUGGUGGGGUAAUGGCUCACCAAGGCGACGAUGCGUAGCCGACCUGAGAGGGUGAACGGCCACACUGGGACUGAGACACGGCCCAGACUCCUACGGGAGGCAGCAGUAGGGAAUCUUCCGCAAUGGACGAAAGUCUGACGGAGCAACGCCGCGUGAGUGAUGAAGGUUUUCGGAUCGUAAAGCUCUGUUGCCAGGGAAGAACGUCCGGUAGAGUAACUGCUACCGGAGUGACGGUACCUGAGAAGAAAGCCCCGGCUAACUACGUGCCAGCAGCCGCRGUAAUACA
RNAcentral lists this ribosomal RNA (509 nucleotides) under bacterium SNB-CN96. RNAcentral describes it as "bacterial SSU rRNA". It matches the Rfam family "Bacterial small subunit ribosomal RNA", at positions 37 to 527 of the family's 1533-position model. The record is from RNAcentral.